RNAcentral lists this ribosomal RNA (846 nucleotides) under uncultured Bacteroidota bacterium. Its description in RNAcentral is "bacterial SSU rRNA". It matches the Rfam family "Bacterial small subunit ribosomal RNA", at positions 65 to 903 of the family's 1533-position model. Lineage: Bacteria; Pseudomonadati; Bacteroidota. The record is from RNAcentral.
AGGGGCAGCGGGAUUGAAGCUUGCUUCAAUUGCCGGCGACCAGCGCACGGGUGAGUAACGCGUAUCCAACCUUCCGUACACUCAGGGAUAGCCUUUCGAAAGAAAGAUUAAUACCUGAUGGUAUGAUGAGAUUGCAUGAUAGCAUCAUUAAAGAUUUAUCGGUGUACGAUGGGGAUGCGUUCCAUUAGGCAGUAGGCGGGGUAACGGCCCACCUAGCCAACGAUGGAUAGGGGUUCUGAGAGGAAGGUCCCCCACAUUGGAACUGAGACACGGUCCAAACUCCUACGGGAGGCAGCAGUGAGGAAUAUUGGUCAAUGGACGAGAGUCUGAACCAGCCAAGUAGCGUGAAGGAUGAAGGUCCUACGGAUUGUAAACUUCUUUUAUAAGGGAAUAAACCCUCCCACGUGUGGGAGCUUGUAUGUACCUUAUGAAUAAGCAUCGGCUAACUCCGUGCCAGCAGCCGCGGUAAUACGGAGGAUGCGAGCGUUAUCCGGAUUUAUUGGGUUUAAAGGGAGCGCAGACGGGUCGUUAAGUCAGCUAUGAAAGUUUGGGGCUCAACCUUAAAAUUGCAGUUGAUACUGGCGUCCUUGAGUGCGGUUGAGGUGUGCGGAAUUCGUGGUGUAGCGGUGAAAUGCUUAGAUAUCACGAAGAACUCCGAUUGCGAAGGCAGCACACUAAUCCGUAACUGACGUUCAUGCUCGAAAGUGUGGGUAUCAAACAGGAUUAGAUACCCUGGUAGUCCACACGGUAAACGAUGGAUACUCGCUGUUGGCGAUAUACUGUCAGCGGCUUAGCGAAAGCGUUAAGUAUCCCACCUGGGGAGUACGCCGGCAACGGUGCAACUCA